AGAUGUGAGGAUGGUCUGGCUGCAACAUCUGUAUUCCACUGAUUGCCAGGGUUGAUCAGGCUGACCUGGCUGUUUAGGCCUGUGUACCCUUCCUCCCUUACCACUCCUUGUGUCCCUCCCAGAUACACUGGGAUGAAGAGACAACCAUUUCUUAAAAGUGUAUGAGUAACUGAGCUCUCCUGCCAGAACCUCCAAGUAAGCUCCCAAAUUUCAGACCAGCCUGGGCUACAUGCACACACUGAAUGACUAAGUGAAUGAAUGAAUGAAUCAAUGAGUGAAGGGCCUCUAUCUU
Unclassified non-coding RNA from Dipodomys ordii (Ord's kangaroo rat), 292 nucleotides. Its record names the gene 7SK. It matches the Rfam family "7SK RNA". Rfam says of the family: 7SK was discovered as an abundant small nuclear RNA in the mid-70s but a possible function has only recently been suggested. Two independent studies have found that 7SK RNA binds the CDK9/cyclin T complex (known as elongation factor P-TEFb). P-TEFb activates transcription by phosphorylating the C-terminal domain of RNA polymerase II. Lineage: Eukaryota; Metazoa; Chordata; Mammalia; Rodentia; Heteromyidae. The record is from Ensembl.